GCAUUUUGAUGGCUGAGGCAGCAAUCGAGCAAUUUUGUUAUGGGUGCUAAAGAGGACGUGGCAUUUUGAGGAUUUGGUCUUACGUUCUCAGACCCAGCAGAGAGUACCUGUGUUCUCUGUCUUUCUCUCCCCAAGGCCAACGGGCUCCACAACCUUGCGUGUGGCUGGUGUGAAAGGUUCUGUGUCUACGUGCGCUCUUAUCUGCGUUGAUGGACACUUACCGCAGAAUGAACGUGGCCAGUGUGUUUGCGCGCGGUCGGCAGCAAGGUGACAGGUGAACACACAGCGGGGGAGGCAGAGGUCGGACACGACGAGGAGCCGCAGCAGUGGGGCCCCUUCCCCAGGCGACAGAAAGUCCUGGACACACUGUCCUCCGGGCGGCGCGCUGUGCCCGCCCCACACACCAGCUCACGGGCUGAGUACCCGCAGCUUUCGCAGGUGGAUCCUUCGCAGGAAAGGGGCUGACGGAGACGAAACCCGUUUUUCCGAGGAUUUUCUGUUCUCUGUUUUUACCGAAGAGAGAGACUUUCCCCAGACUGCCUUUUACUUUUUAAAACUAGAAUUCCAUU
RNAcentral lists this long non-coding RNA (569 nucleotides) under Ursus maritimus (polar bear). Its description in RNAcentral is "lncRNA (ENSUMAG00000009154.1)". The record is from RNAcentral. Lineage: Eukaryota; Metazoa; Chordata; Mammalia; Carnivora; Ursidae.